This 156-nucleotide ribosomal RNA is filed under the name Uvedalia linearis var. lutea. RNAcentral's name for it is "5.8S ribosomal RNA". The stretch from base 1 to 122 matches the Rfam family "5.8S ribosomal RNA", at positions 35 to 154 of the family's 154-position model. Rfam says of the family: 5.8S ribosomal RNA (5.8S rRNA) is a component of the large subunit of the eukaryotic ribosome. It is transcribed by RNA polymerase I as part of the 45S precursor that also contains 18S and 28S rRNA. Lineage: Eukaryota; Viridiplantae; Streptophyta; Magnoliopsida; Lamiales; Phrymaceae. The record is from RNAcentral.
GAUGAAGAACGUAGCGAAAUGCGAUACUUGGUGUGAAUUGCAGAAUCCCGUGAACCAUCGAGUCUUUGAACGCAAGUUGCGCCCGAAGCCUUUAGGCCUAGGGCACGUCUGCCUGGGCGUCACGCAUCGCGUCGCCCCCAAUCAUCACUCAUAUUG